AUUGAACGCUGGCGGCAGGCCUAACACAUGCAAGUCGAACGGUAACAGGAAACAGCUUGCUGUUUCGCUGACGAGUGGCGGACGGGUGAGUAAUGUCUGGGAAACUGCCUGAUGGAGGGGGAUAACUACUGGAAACGGUAGCUAAUACCGCAUAACGUCGCAAGACCAAAGAGGGGGACCUUCGGGCCUCUUGCCAUCGGAUGUGCCCAGAUGGGAUUAGCUAGUAGGUGGGGUAACGGCUCACCUAGGCGACGAUCCCUAGCUGGUCUGAGAGGAUGACCAGCCACACUGGGACUGAGACACGGUCCAGACUCCUACGGGAGGCAGCAGUGGGGAAUAUUGCACAAUGGGCGCAAGCCUGAUGCAGCCAUGCCGCGUGUAUGAAGAAGGCCUUCGGGUUGUAAAGUACUUUCAGCGGGGAGGAAGGGAGUAAAGUUAAUACCUUUGCUCAUUGACGUUACCCGCAGAAGAAGCACCGGCUAACUCCGUG
This 490-nucleotide ribosomal RNA is filed under the name uncultured bacterium. RNAcentral's name for it is "partial 16S ribosomal RNA". It matches the Rfam family "Bacterial small subunit ribosomal RNA", at positions 30 to 507 of the family's 1533-position model. The record is from RNAcentral.